RNAcentral lists this long non-coding RNA (456 nucleotides) under Rattus norvegicus (Norway rat). Its description in RNAcentral is "long non-coding RNA NONRATT027896". Lineage: Eukaryota; Metazoa; Chordata; Mammalia; Rodentia; Muridae. The record is from RNAcentral.
GCAGCUAUGGAUUUAGAAAGUGUCCUCCACAGUCCUACCAGCCCCCUUCUGUGCUCAUGAGCCUGAGUCCUGGGGACCCUGAGUUCAGGGCUCCCUGCUUGCCAGCCGAGGGCAUGCCAACCAAUGCAAAACUCUCAGGCCCUAAAAGAGCGCCUCCCCCUCCUCACACCAACCAGCAGCCCCAGGAGUUGGAGAUGGAUGCUUCCCAUUUGAAACAUCUAAUCUUACUUUAGUGCAACGGAAUCUGAUGGUGGCAACGUUUUAAACAUGUGUGUCCCAGAAUUGCUCCAUUAUCUCCACACGGUAGGAAGGCUUUACCUUCUCAACAACCUGAUCUGUCACCUUACUCGGAAGAACAACACAUCCAGACCUUGCUCUUAGUUACUGUCUGAGAGCCUGGACGGGCUGUGCUGUUUUUCAAGUUUGUCGGGGGAGGCGGGGUGUCAUCAGGGUGGU